GGGUUGCCAAAUCGCCAAAAUAACAUCCGUCGUAUUCGAUGACCGAUGAUUUAAAUUUUUUAUUUUAUUCAUACAAUUCUGCAAAACAUUUAUUCCGUUCGGAGUUGUAGAUCAAUUAAUUGAUCGUCAGUAUCAAUAAAAUUUAACUGAAUCACUUGUCAACUAUGAUCUUGUGAAUGCUACGCAUAUGACUCUGUAAAUGAAUUUUCUGGCGAAAUGACCGGGAACAGAG
Long non-coding RNA from Daphnia pulicaria, 232 nucleotides. RefSeq lists it as uncharacterized. Lineage: Eukaryota; Metazoa; Arthropoda; Branchiopoda; Diplostraca; Daphniidae. The transcript has 2 exons. The record is from RefSeq and is a predicted model, not a curated record.